This 24-nucleotide non-coding RNA is filed under the name Cricetulus griseus (Chinese hamster). Lineage: Eukaryota; Metazoa; Chordata; Mammalia; Rodentia; Cricetidae. The record is from RNAcentral.
UGGUUUGGAACUUCGGUAUUUUGC